AGUGAACGCUGGCGGUAGGCCUAACACAUGCAAGUCGAACGGCAGCACAGUAAGAGCUUGCUCUUACGGGUGGCGAGUGGCGGACGAGUGAGGAAUACAUCGGAAUCUACUUUUUCGUGGGGGAUAACGUAGGGAAACUUACGCUAAUACCGCAUACGACCUACGGGUGAAAGCAGGGGAUCUUCGGACCUUGCGCAAUUGAAUGAGCCGAUGUCGGAUUAGCUAGUUGGCGGGGUAAAGGCCCACCAAGGCGACGAUCCGUAGCUGGUCUGAGAGGAUGAUCAGCCACACUGGAACUGAGACACGGUCCAGACUCCUACGGGAGGCAGCAGUGGGGAAUAUUGGACAAUGGGCGAAAGCCUGAUCCAGCCAUACCGCGUGGGUGAAGAAGGCCUUCGGGUUGUAAAGCCCUUUUGUUGGGAAAGAAAAGCAGCAGGUUAAUACCCCGCUGUUCUGACGGUACCCAAAGAAUAAGCACCGGCUAACUUCGUG
This 492-nucleotide ribosomal RNA is filed under the name uncultured bacterium. RNAcentral's name for it is "partial 16S ribosomal RNA". It matches the Rfam family "Bacterial small subunit ribosomal RNA", at positions 29 to 507 of the family's 1533-position model. The record is from RNAcentral.